GACGAACGCUGGCGGCGUGCUUAACACAUGCAAGUCGAACGGAAAGGCCCUGCUUUUGUGGGGUGCUCGAGUGGCGAACGGGUGAGUAACACGUGAGUAACCUGCCCUUGACUUUGGGAUAACUUCAGGAAACUGGGGCUAAUACCGGAUAGGAGCUCCUGCUGCAUGGUGGGGGCUGGAAAGUUUCGGCGGUUGGGGAUGGACUCGCGGCUUAUCAGCUUGUUGGUGGGGUAGUGGCUUACCAAGGCUUUGACGGGUAGCCGGCCUGAGAGGGUGACCGGCCACAUGGGGACUGGGAUACGGCCCAGACUCCUACGGGAGGCAGCAGUGGGGAAUAUGGCACAAUGGGCGGAAGCCUGAUGCAGCAACGCCGCGUGCGGGAGGACGGCCUUCGGGUGGUAAACCGCUUUCGCCGGGGACGAAGCGUGAGUGACGGUAAUUGGUAAAGAAGCACCGGCUAACUACGUG
This 468-nucleotide ribosomal RNA is filed under the name uncultured bacterium. Its description in RNAcentral is "partial 16S ribosomal RNA". It matches the Rfam family "Bacterial small subunit ribosomal RNA", at positions 28 to 507 of the family's 1533-position model. The record is from RNAcentral.